UAGUGGCGAACGGGUGAGUAACACGUGGGCAAUCUGCCCUUCACUCUGGGACAAGCCCUGGAAACGGGGUCUAAUACCGGAUAAUACUUUCUCCUGCAUGGGAGAGGGUUGAAAGCUCCGGCGGUGAAGGAUGAGCCCGCGGCCUAUCAGCUUGUUGGUGGGGUGAUGGCCUACCAAGGCGACGACGGGUAGCCGGCCUGAGAGGGCGACCGGCCACACUGGGACUGAGACACGGCCCAGACUCCUACGGGAGGCAGCAGUGGGGAAUAUUGCACAAUGGGCGGAAGCCUGAUGCAGCGACGCCGCGUGAGGGAUGACGGCCUUCGGGUUGUAAACCUCUUUCAGCAGGGAAGAAGCGUGAGUGACGGUACCUGCAGAAGAAGCGCCGGCUAACUACGUGCCAGCAGCCGCGGUAAUACGUAGGGCGCAAGCGUUGUCCGGAAUUAUUGGGCGUAAAGAGCUCGUAGGCGGCUUGUCGCGUCGGAUGUGAAAGCCCGGGGCUUAACCCCGGGUCUGCAUUCGAUACGGGCAGGCUAGAGUGUGGUAGGGGAGAUCGGAAUUCCU
This 564-nucleotide ribosomal RNA is filed under the name Streptomyces sp. 331D03. Its description in RNAcentral is "bacterial SSU rRNA". It matches the Rfam family "Bacterial small subunit ribosomal RNA", at positions 93 to 671 of the family's 1533-position model. RNAcentral also lists the same sequence under 2 other names. The record is from RNAcentral. Lineage: Bacteria; Bacillati; Actinomycetota; Actinomycetes; Kitasatosporales; Streptomycetaceae.